This 255-nucleotide ribosomal RNA is filed under the name uncultured bacterium. RNAcentral describes it as "partial 16S ribosomal RNA". It matches the Rfam family "Bacterial small subunit ribosomal RNA", at positions 524 to 776 of the family's 1533-position model. The record is from RNAcentral.
UACGAAGGGGGCUAGCGUUGUUCGGAAUCACUGGGCGUAAAGGGCGCGUAGGCGGUCGUGACAAGUCACUUGUGAAAUCUCCGGGCUUAACUCGGAACGGUCAAGUGAUACUGUCGGACUAGAGUACAGAAGGGGCAACUGGAAUUCUCGGUGUAGCGGUGAAAUGCGUAGAUAUCGAGAGGAACACCUGCGGCGAAGGCGGGUUGCUGGGCUGAUACUGACGCUGAGGCGCGGAAAGCCAGGGGAGCGAACGGG